UCCCUCGCCUGCGCGGCUGUCAGCUGUACACAAUCCAGCCAAUCACGGCACGCCUGACGGAAAACCGGAAGGGCCAAGUCUCGCCGCCCGGCAGGUUUACGACCUCGGGCUGCUGUGCGCUUGAUUUCAGAAGGUUUAGCAGAGGGUCUAAGCAAAAUCUGAGGCGUCUGCGGACGGAGAAACGGGCCGAAGAGCGUACUCUGUCAGAAGAGAUUAUGCUGCCAACUCCUGUGCUAUUGAUCCUCCCCAACCCCCGUGUCCAAAUCCCCAGAGUUUUUUGCAAAGCAGAGUUUUGGCUUUGAACAUAUUGGUCCAAUUCCUUCUACAGUGGGUUCAUUGAGUGCCUACUGUUUACUUAGCAUUGAACCAGGCACUGGUGAUUGGAACAGACAAAAUACCAAAAAUCCUGCUCUCUACAAUUAAAAUGGACAAGUAUUCAUUGAGUCUCUCUUUGGAGACAUAGAUAGAAGAUAAAUCACCGCGAAGUUUCCCACAAGAAAGAAAGGAGACCGUGCAUUUUCACAAACACCUUCAUCUGCCUUAGGGAAGAAAACAGUGAAGUGUGUUAAGGACUGGGAGCUCGUAGGACUGGAAAAUAUGAAAGCUUCCUACAUCGGCAGAGUUGAGGGUGUUUCCACAGAAGAUAGAGUGAGCAAAGGUUGAGGAAUAGAAAAACGAUUUGACUGGAGUGUCGAAGACAGUCUGGAAGUGAUGCUAGAAGCAACUUCUGUGAGAAGCUUUGGCCCUGAGCACUUAUCUGUAGAUAAAUGGGUACCCAUUCAAUGUUAGGGGGGUUGUUUGUUUAUUUUUAAAGAUUACGGUUAGAAAGAUGAUCCGAUUAGAAAGAGAUAAUAAGGAAAACUGUACAGAAAGUUCCUGAAAUAAAUCUCUACAAUCAAGUCCUUCGAGAGUGAAAGGCAUUGAAAAACGAAGACAGCCCAUGGAUUGGAAUUACAUUUCAAUAGUAGACGGUUCAAGAGCUGGCAAAAGAUGGAAUUUAAUUUUCCUUCCUAAUUAUGUUUUAGUUAAAUUAUUAUUUAAAUUAGUUGGCAUUCCUGGAGCAACCGAACAGCACUGUAACUGAGAGAAGCCAGAUUGCAAAUUAAAAGUGAAUAAUCCC
Molecule: long non-coding RNA, 1120 nt
Organism: Mastomys coucha (southern multimammate mouse)
Lineage: Eukaryota; Metazoa; Chordata; Mammalia; Rodentia; Muridae
Exons: 2
Source: RefSeq, a predicted model, not a curated record